UCUGGGAUUAGAUACCCUGUUAUUUAAAAUGUAAUUAAAAAUACUUGAGUAUUAAUAGUUAUGGUCUUUAAACUUAAAAAAUUUGGCGGUAUUUUAGUCUAUUCAGAGGAACCUGUUUUAUAAUCGAUAAUCCACGAUGUACCUCACUUAAAUUUGUUAAUCAGUUUAUAUACCGUCGUUAUAGAAUAUUUUAUAAGAAAAAUAAUUUUCAAUAAUUAAGAUAAUAAUAUAUGUCAGAUCAAGGUGUAGCUUAUAUUUAAGUAAUAAUGGGUUACAAUAAAAGUAUUUUUGGAUAUAAAGAUGAAAAAUUUAUUGAAAAUGGAUUUGAUAGUAAAAUUAAAUAGAUAAUUGAUUUGAUUUUAGCUCUAAAAUGUGUACAAAUCGCCCG
This 388-nucleotide ribosomal RNA is filed under the name Protoclythia modesta. RNAcentral describes it as "partial 12S ribosomal RNA". The record is from RNAcentral. Lineage: Eukaryota; Metazoa; Arthropoda; Insecta; Diptera; Platypezidae.